RNAcentral lists this long non-coding RNA (449 nucleotides) under Sorghum bicolor (sorghum). RNAcentral describes it as "long non-coding RNA (SBIC_LNC004554)". The record is from RNAcentral. Lineage: Eukaryota; Viridiplantae; Streptophyta; Magnoliopsida; Poales; Poaceae.
AAUGGACAAGUGUCCGACAGUAGAAUUAGGGGUACAAGAUACCCACCUGAGAGAAAAGAAAAAAAUAUAGAGCAUCUCAUUCUCCUCUCAAAGUUUCAAAAAGCAAGAAAGGUAUGUAUCCCCUCAAAAGAGCAAAAGUAGAAUUAGACUUCCAUCACCAUUGUUUUCACCAUUGUUAUCACCAUCAUCACCAUACACCAUUCAUUCGCCACACAUGCACAUCUUGAUUUUGCUUAUUGAUUUGUUUCUUUGGAUCCAUGGUUUGAAUAUACAAUAAAUGUCUUGUAGGUAUGUAUAUUUUAUCUCCCACCUAUGAGCUCCAGAUAUUAAAGCCUUAUUAGAGUAGGGUGAGAGAGAAGGCAAUGUCACUAUGCUCUAUACCACAAAUACUACAUAUCUUGAGAGAAGGCAUAUACCAUCACUGCCUUGGUAAGGAUCCAGAAAUACCA